AGAGUUUGAUCCUGGCUCAGAUUGAACGCUGGCGGCAUGCUUUACACAUGCAAGUCGAACGGCAGCACGGAGAGCUUGCUCUCUGGUGGCGAGUGGCGAACGGGUGAGUAAUAUAUUGGAACGUACCGAGUAGCGGGGGAUAACUGUCCGAAAGGAUGGCUAAUACCGCAUACGCUCUGAGGAGGAAAGCGGGGGACCUUCGGGCCUCGCACUAUUCGAGCGGCCAAUAUCUGAUUAGCUAGUUGGUGGGGUAAGAGCCCACCAAGGCGACGAUCAGUAGCGGGUCUGAGAGGAUGAUCCGCCACACUGGGACUGAGACACGGCCCAGACUCCUACGGGAGGCAGCAGUGGGGAAUUUUGGACAAUGGGGGCAACCCUGAUCCAGCCAUGCCGCGUGUAUGAAGAAGGCCUUCGGGUUGUAAAGUACUUUUGUCAGGGAAGAAAAGCCUGGGGAUAACACCCUCGGGUCAUGACGGUACCUGAAGAAUAAGCACCGGCUAACUACGUGCCAGCAGCCGCGGUAAUA
RNAcentral lists this ribosomal RNA (526 nucleotides) under uncultured bacterium. RNAcentral describes it as "bacterial SSU rRNA". It matches the Rfam family "Bacterial small subunit ribosomal RNA", at positions 8 to 525 of the family's 1533-position model. The record is from RNAcentral.